Molecule: non-coding RNA, 27 nt
Filed under: Cricetulus griseus (Chinese hamster)
Lineage: Eukaryota; Metazoa; Chordata; Mammalia; Rodentia; Cricetidae
Source: RNAcentral
CAAGUGCUGGGAUCAAAUGUGUGCUAU